Molecule: transfer RNA, 65 nt
Filed under: Meriones unguiculatus (Mongolian gerbil)
Lineage: Eukaryota; Metazoa; Chordata; Mammalia; Rodentia; Muridae
Description: tRNA (ENSMUGG00000000030.1)
Rfam family: tRNA
About the family: Transfer RNA (tRNA) molecules are approximately 80 nucleotides in length. Their secondary structure includes four short double-helical elements and three loops (D, anti-codon, and T loops).
Source: RNAcentral
GUAAAUAUAGUUUACACAAAACAUUAGACUGUGAAUCUAAAAUCAGGGCUUAGCCCUUAUUUACC